This 1400-nucleotide ribosomal RNA is filed under the name Klebsiella pneumoniae. RNAcentral's name for it is "bacterial SSU rRNA". It matches the Rfam family "Bacterial small subunit ribosomal RNA". Lineage: Bacteria; Pseudomonadati; Pseudomonadota; Gammaproteobacteria; Enterobacterales; Enterobacteriaceae. The record is from RNAcentral.
GUCGAGCGGUAGCACAGAGAGCUUGCUCUCGGGUGACGAGCGGCGGACGGGUGAGUAAUGUCUGGGAAACUGCCUGAUGGAGGGGGAUAACUACUGGAAACGGUAGCUAAUACCGCAUAAUGUCGCAAGACCAAAGUGGGGGACCUUCGGGCCUCAUGCCAUCAGAUGUGCCCAGAUGGGAUUAGCUAGUAGGUGGGGUAACGGCUCACCUAGGCGACGAUCCCUAGCUGGUCUGAGAGGAUGACCAGCCACACUGGAAUUGAGACACGGUCCAGACUCCUACGGGAGGCAGCAGUGGGGAAUAUUGCACAAUGGGCGCAAGCCUGAUGCAGCCAUGCCGCGUGUGUGAAGAAGGCCUUCGGGUUGUAAAGCACUUUCAGCGGGGAGGAAGGCGGUGAGGUUAAUAACCUCAUCGAUUGACGUUACCCGCAGAAGAAGCACCGGCUAACUCCGUGCCAGCAGCCGCGGUAAUACGGAGGGUGCAAGCGUUAAUCGGAAUUACUGGGCGUAAAGCGCACGCAGGCGGUCUGUCAAGUCGGAUGUGAAAUCCCCGGGCUCAACCUGGGAACUGCAUUCGAAACUGGCAGGCUAGAGUCUUGUAGAGGGGGGUAGAAUUCCAGGUGUAGCGGUGAAAUGCGUAGAGAUCUGGAGGAAUACCGGUGGCGAAGGCGGCCCCCUGGACAAAGACUGACGCUCAGGUGCGAAAGCGUGGGGAGCAAACAGGAUUAGAUACCCUGGUAGUCCAUGCCGUAAACGAUGUCGAUUUGGAGGUUGUGCCCUUGAGGCGUGGCUUCCGGAGCUAACGCGUUAAAUCGACCGCCUGGGGAGUACGGCCGCAAGGUUAAAACUCAAAUGAAUUGACGGGGGCCCGCACAAGCGGUGGAGCAUGUGGUUUAAUUCGAUGCAACGCGAAGAACCUUACCUGGUCUUGACAUCCACAGAACUUUCCAGAGAUGGAUUGGUGCCUUCGGGAACUGUGAGACAGGUGCUGCAUGGCUGUCGUCAGCUCGUGUUGUGAAAUGUUGGGUUAAGUCCCCCAACGAGCGCAACCCUUAUCCUUUGUUGCCAGCGGUUAGGCCGGGAACUCAAAGGAGACUGCCAGUGAUAAACUGGAGGAAGGUGGGGAUGACGUCAAGUCAUCAUGGCCCUUACGACCAGGGCUACACACGUGCUACAAUGGCAUAUACAAAGAGAAGCGACCUCGCGAGAGCAAGCGGACCUCAUAAAGUAUGUCGUAGUCCGGAUUGGAGUCUGCAACUCGACUCCAUGAAGUCGGAAUCGCUAGUAAUCGUAGAUCAGAAUGCUACGGUGAAUACGUUCCCGGGCCUUGUACACACCGCCCGUCACACCAUGGGAGUGGGUUGCAAAAGAAGUAGGUAGCUUAACCUUCGGGAGGGCGC